AAUAGAUACCCAGGUAGUCCACGCCGUAAACGAUGAGUGCUAAGUGUUAGAGGGUUUCCGCCCUUUAGUGCUGCAGCUAACGCAUUAAGCACUCCGCCUGGGGAGUACGGUCGCAAGACUGAAACUCAAAGGAAUUGACGGGGGCCCGCACAAGCGGUGGAGCAUGUGGUUUAAUUCGAAGCAACGCGAAGAACCUUACCAGGUCUUGACAUCCUCUGACAACUCUAGAGAUAGAGCGUUCCCCUUCGGGGGACAGGGUGACAGGUGGUGCAUGGUUGUCGUCAGCUCGUGUCGUGAGAUGUUGGGUUAAGUCCCGCAACGAGCGCAACCCUUGAUCUUAGUUGCCAGCAUUUAGUUGGGCACUCUAAGGUGACUGCCGGUGACAAACCGGAGGAAGGUGGGGAUGACGUCAAAUCAUCAUGCCCCUUAUGACCUGGGCUACACACGUGCUACAAUGGAUGGUACAAAGGGCUGCAAGACCGCGAGGUCAAGCCAAUCCCAUAAAACCAUUCUCAGUUCGGAUCGUAGG
Molecule: ribosomal RNA, 529 nt
Filed under: uncultured bacterium
Lineage: Bacteria
Description: bacterial SSU rRNA
Rfam family: Bacterial small subunit ribosomal RNA
Source: RNAcentral